RNAcentral lists this ribosomal RNA (536 nucleotides) under Trigonopterus sp. 765 AR-2022a. RNAcentral's name for it is "partial large subunit ribosomal RNA". Lineage: Eukaryota; Metazoa; Arthropoda; Insecta; Coleoptera; Curculionidae. The record is from RNAcentral.
GGCCUGUUGAUUAUAAUUUGAGGUCUGACCUGCCCACUGAAGGAUUAAAUGGCCGCGGUAUAUUGACCGUGCAAAGGUAGCAUAAUCACUAGUUUUUUAAUUGAAAGCUUGAAUGAAAGGUUUGAUGAGAAAAUUUCUGUCUYUAGGAGAAUUUAUUAGAAUUUUAUUUUUAAGUUAAAAAGCUUAAAUAUGUGUGAAAGACGAGAAGACCCUAUAGAGUUUUACAUUUAAAUAAAAAUUUCAAUUUUAUAGUAUAAAAAAUUUUUUUUUGUUUAUGUGUUUUAUUGGGGCGAUAGACAAAUUGAUUUAACUUUCUUUAAAUUUAAACACUAAUUUGUGGAUAAAUGAUCCUAAUUUUUAGAUUAUAAGAUUAAAUUACCUUAGGGAUAACAGCGUAAUUUUUUUUAGAGUUCUUAUCGAAAAAAAAGAUUGCGACCUCGAUGUUGGAUUAAAAUAAAUUAUUGGUGAAGAAGCUAAUAAAUUAGGUCUGUUCGACCUUUAAAAUUUUACAUGAUCUGAGUUUAGACCGGCGUGAG